AUGUAUUUGGAUGCUCAGCGUAGCUGGAUGUAUAGUGGGUGGAAGGAUAGUGGAAGACAUUCUGAUGAGUGGAUACGAAAUACAAAUGCUUUUGUGAACCAUGUUUUUGAGGGUGUCCAUAGUGCCAUGUUUGGAGUUUCCUGUCCUUGCUCAAAAUGUUGUAAUGCUAGUAGAAGAACAAAACAAUUGAUGACCUCUCAUCUUUGUCAUUGGGGGUUCAUGCCCAACUACUUUAGAUGGAUUGCACAUGGGGAGCGUCAUGCUCAUGUAGAUAGCGUGGAGUCUGUCAACACUGAUUGCUUAGAAGACAUGUUGUGUGACUUUGGGGAUUAA
This 333-nucleotide ribosomal RNA is filed under the name Triticum aestivum (bread wheat). RNAcentral's name for it is "partial small subunit ribosomal RNA". The record is from RNAcentral. Lineage: Eukaryota; Viridiplantae; Streptophyta; Magnoliopsida; Poales; Poaceae.